RNAcentral lists this non-coding RNA (25 nucleotides) under Mus musculus (house mouse). Lineage: Eukaryota; Metazoa; Chordata; Mammalia; Rodentia; Muridae. The record is from RNAcentral.
UGCAUCCUUAGCUACGCCGUGCUGG